Molecule: long non-coding RNA, 750 nt
Filed under: Homo sapiens (human)
Lineage: Eukaryota; Metazoa; Chordata; Mammalia; Primates; Hominidae
Description: HSALNT0308230
Source: RNAcentral
CUUGAGGAAGGGCGUUUGUGAUUGGUGGGUUCUGCCGCGGCCGGGAAGUUCGAACAGAAGUCUGGGGAAGAGCCGGCGAAGAGCAAAGAGAUAAUACAGUACUCCCAGCUAUAGCAAGCGGCAGUUAUGGAGCAUGCGCAGCAGCAGGGGCGGCCGCAGGUCGCCGUUCAAUAAUACGUAAUUCAAGGGAUUUGUACAGCCCUGUAGGAGACACCUCCAGAGAAAGUAACAGCUCUCAAUUGAUUAGCUGAGAAGCCUCAGGGGCUGGAUCCUGACAUGAACCAGACACCUCCAGAAUUCUAUCCCAAGCAAAAGAUUAUUUCAAGGCCAGAACUCACUCCCUGCUGGAGACUGACUACAAGAUCCACUGAGAUUGAUGUGUAACCUGAUUGGGCCCACAGUGAUGCUAGCCCCUUCACCAGAUGGAACAAUAAUUCCAGACAAGCCAUCAGAGCAGGUCACACCACUUGACACCUUCUCGCCCCCUUGCCUCUCCUGCAUUCCAAACCCCUCUCUUUAAAAUCCCCAUGUUCCCUCCGUAAACUGGGCAGUGCCAAUUGUUGGAAAGAAUUCUGGCACUCUUUUCCUUCUUAGCAUGGAUAAAAAGAUUCACCCUCUUUUUAUCACACCUCACUCUUGUUAUUUUGGCUUCUUUCUACAAGUGGUGAGCAACCGGGCCCCCUUUGCUGGUUAUAGUAUGAACUAUUUUAUUUUUUUUAAUCUACAAUAAAAUAAAAUACAUUCAUUAGA